GGGGUCCUUCAGCAGUAGUGCAAUGAGGAGCAUGCACACGAGAGAUUCUAUUUUCCUUGGAUGGCUUUCUUGAGCCUUGGAAAUCUGGCUUACCAGGAAUUCUAGGCUUCUGUUGUCCCUUGCUUCCUAUCUGAAAUAUUUGGCAACAUUUUCAGACAUCUUUGAUCAUCACAGUGGGGAGUAAAGCCAGCUGCAAUUAUAAAGAUGCACACACACACUCACAAAAGAGAAAGAGGAGCAGAAAGAGUGAAGAAAACAUGUCCAUUUAUUAGAAAAUAAAUAUACAAGUACAAUAGAAGAAAAGGGGGUAGAAAACAUUUUGAAGAUUUAGAAAAGUAAGUUCAUUAUCACAUAAAAUGUCUCUCUAAAGCUCUGUUCUUUCAAGUGAUUUUUUUCUUAAAAUUUCCCUUUGUGUUCUGAAUUUGCCUUUAAACUAUUGCUGAAACUGUCUCAGACAGUAUAUUUUUAAUUAUUUAAUUCUUAGAAAAUCUCCUUUAGGUGAAUGCUAGGGACAGGGAUUGCUCUAUAGAUGGCAAUGGUAAUAGGCAAAGAGGUAAUAAUUUGAGUGUUAGAUAAAAAUCCAGGUCAAAGCUGCUUUACUACUAUAUUUCAAAUCAUUUUUAAAAGCUAUCAUUAGAUAUUGUCUUUACCUAUUAAUAUUAAAAGACUAUUAGCAGUAUUAAAUUAUGCAACAAUUAGUACUUUCUGUAAGCAAUAUUACCAAUAUGAAUAGGGAAAACUAGUAUUUAGUUUACAUAGAGAGUUUGGAGUAUAUCACUAUGUUUCUCAGAAAACAUCCUAUUGUUUUGUGUAUGUUCUGUAUAGCUCUUUUGUUUUUUAAAAAGUCAUACCAAGAGAUAGAAAUUUUUAAUGCCUGCCAGUGUGUAGCAUUUACUUUUCUAAAAACUAAAACUUGUAUGUGUUUAUGGUAUAAAACAUAUUUUGACAUAUGUAUACAUUGCAGAAUGGCUAAAUCAAGCUAAUUACCCUUCCAUUACCUCACAGACUUUUUUUUGUUUGUGUGUGGUAAGAACUCUUAAAAUCUACUUUCUUAGCAACUUUUAAAUACACAAUACAUUGUUCUUAACUGUAGUCAUCUUGCUGGGUCUCUUGAAUUUAUUCUUUCUGUCAAACUUUUGUAUCCUCUGACCAACAGAAAAAUAGAAAUGUUGAAAGGAUGAAUUUAUGUAUCACACGUCAUUCAUCAGGUAUUUUUAGAAAUGGUAUUAUUUGAAAAAUGUCUAACCAUUGCUGUUAAUCUUGAAUCUGCUGCAUUCCUAAUAUCACAUAUUUUGUCAUCUUUCAAUAAUUGCCUG
RNAcentral lists this long non-coding RNA (1316 nucleotides) under Pongo abelii (Sumatran orangutan). Its description in RNAcentral is "lincRNA". The record is from RNAcentral. Lineage: Eukaryota; Metazoa; Chordata; Mammalia; Primates; Hominidae.